UUAUGGAUGAGGAAGCUGAGGCACAGUGAGGUGGGGGAACUUGCGUGUACAGGCUCAGUCUAGAGUUCAGGACCCUUUUAAGCUCUUGGUAUAUCACUUCCUGGAAAACAACGCUGGGACAGCCCUAACAUCUACACUGCUACUUUACAGCUUUAAGAACACCUCACCAGGUAAAGCAGACCCGGAUCAUAAACUACUGACAACCGAGGAGGAAAGUCAGGGAUGCUACCCUUGGGGGUAAGGACAAAAUGACGGGAGUGGAAGAGUCACCGUGACUCCACGUUCAGGUGCCAUCGGCUCUUGAGAUCAUUCUGGAAAGAGUCCUGGAAGAGUGUAGGACUCCACAGCUGUCUGGGUGAGGGGCGGCUGCCCUGGCGGGCUUGGGGGGCAGGGAGCACGUUCACUGUCCCUCAGGAGCCGGGAGUGUUCAGGGACACCCCCCUUUCUCUGGAGGGAUUCAGAGCAAUGCCCUCAGGGUCCUCCCGGCCCCUCCUGACUUGUGCUCAUUAGCAAGUCUCUGUGAAAAGCCCUGCGAAGGAUGCAUUUAAACAAAUUUAGUUACAGAGUAAACAAAGGACCUCCUUUUAAAGAAUAACUUUGCUCGAAUGGGGACCGCUGUAGAAAAUACUGGACAUGUGGUCACUGUGUGGAAAGGCUGUGAGUCUUCAGGCCGGCAGGAAAACUCAGAGCACUAUUACCUCUGUCCCCUGUUGUUACCUCCUCUUCUGCCCGUCCUCCAAAGCCGGGCCGUCCUCUGCUCACUGCCCUGGGGCAGCGUCGCAUGAGCAGAGCAAAGUCACUCUCCCCCUUGACAAGAUAACUUAGAUUAGGCAAAAGAUUUGGGAGAGAAAUAUAAGGUUCCCUGGCCCCUGUCCAGAGUCACACUUCCUAAAACCCAGAUGGACGGCACUGCGGGGGACAAGAGAACAUAGACAUUGACGAGCUUUGGAGAAGCCGGCCCUGCACCCAUCUCUUCACUCGGUGACCAGGCGGAGCCCCAGAGAGGGCGAGAUACUAGGGAGAUAGGAGGGAUCCAAGAGCAGGGGAUCCGCGCCCUCCAUCCUGGGGCAGCUCCAGGAGGCAACAAGGCUGCAGACAAGAAACACUGCGUGGAACAUCUAGGCAGUUCUGGAGACCAGAAGUCUGAAAUGUCUUACAGGCGGAAAUCAAGGCGUCAGCAGGGCUGGUGGCUUCAGGCAGCUCCAGAGCAGAAUCCGUUCCUUGCCUCUUGUGGCUUCUAGAGGCUGCCUGUGCUCCACAGCUGUGGCCCCAUGCUCCGUCUUCAGAGCACACACUCCAACCUCUGCUCGGUCAUCACACCAUCUCUCCUCCUCGCUGACAUUGGCCCUCUCGCCUCCUGCUCACAAGGACCCUUGUGAUUCCAUUGGGCCCACUUCGAUAAUCGGGAUCAUCUCUCCAUCUCAAGAUCCUUAACUUAAUCCCAUCUGCAGUGUCCCUGUGCCAGGCACCCUGUGACAUGGCAGUUUCAGUUCCGGGUGCCAGUGAACACCAAAUUCACCAGUGACCAUUUGUUCUGGGUUGGCAAGGCCCAGAGAUGCUGUGGCAGCCUGUUUUCCAGGGGCCCUGCCUCUGUGUUGACCCCAUCCCACCAGCUCUUCCUACAACGUGACUGGAACUCCUCCCACAGAGAGUGGGGUCUACGUUUCCUCCCCCUUGAAUUGGGGGGACUGGGGAUUGCCCUGACCAAUAGAGCACAACGGAAGUGAUACCCUGUGACUUCCAAAGCUUAGGUCAUACAAAAGGAUUCACUUCUGUCUGGCUCUCACUAUCUCAAGAUGCUCACCUUUGGAACCCAGCCACCAUGUUGCAAGGAAGCCCAGGCCCCAUGGAAAGGUACACUUGAGGAAGAAACAAGCCCGCCCCGCAACAGCCAGCACCAACUUGCCAGCCAUGUGGAUAGGAAGUGGAUCCUCCAGUCCCAACCAAGCCUCCAGAUACUGCAGCCUUGGCUCACAUUUGACCACAGCUUCAUGAGAGCCAGAAUUACCCGCCAAGCCUCUUCCAGAUCCCUGAUGCUUAGAAACAGUGAGAGGUCACUCAAGUUCUUAUUUGCAGUCCCUGGAACAAGACCCGCCUCCUCUCCUCCAGGCCUGUGAACAUUCUCAUCCCCUCCUCCUCUACAUGAGACCUCCAUGGUUUACCCCCUGCAGCCAGGUUCAUCAGCCCUCCCUACAUGUGGCCACACUGCUCCAUGCUUGCCCCAUGCUCACACUCCUCACUGUCCACUGGCCAUAUUAAAGGCGCACUAGCUUCUCCCAGAGGCUGCCAACUGAGGUCAGAGACGACUAACUGAGACCUCAGGAAUGAGGGCUCCAAUGUCAGAGGCAGCCAGCAUCCGAGGGGCCAGAGUGUAGCCGUCAACACAGAUCGUGAGGUCCCAAACACCCUCGACCUCGGCUCACAGAGAUCUUUCUUUCUUGUCCCGAAGUGGAAGGGCUGGGCUGCUGUGGGCAUGGCUGACAAAGCUUCUCCAUAACGCGUUAGCAAUUUCUGCUCACAUUCGGCAAACGUCCUUGAUGGGUGUGGACAUCGCAUUAGCAGUUUGCCACAUCACAGAAGCCUUGUGAGUGUUUCUGCCAUGUUCUCAUCUGCAUGGAGGAUGCCCUGCCCUUGGAACAGGGACAGUCAUGAGGAAUGGCCAGAGGACCCUGGACUGAAUGAUUCACCAGAAGCAGGAGUGCCCUCUGGAAGUCUGCAGAAAACUUGAGAUGGGCAUUAGACUUUGCAAAAUCCAGGCAGCGACGAUGGUUCAAGGCAUAUUUCCCUUGAUCUUCAGAACAGUGUGACUACCUCUGGUCUCGUCUGUGGUGUCUCAGUGGCAGUAUGUGUGUAAGAAGGGGGAGGUUUCCGUGUCUGUAUAGUUGCUGGCUGCAUUUGCACCCAUACUUAAAGGUGUGGGUGUUCAUGUGCUUCUUCUGCUUUUGUGUAGGGAUAUUAUUACACAUUGUAUCUUUGUUGGAGAUGCUGCUAAAUGUUCAUGUGAUCAUACUUUUCUUCCUCACUGAGUCUUCAUAGAGGGAAACUGAGUCCCUUCCCACACCUUGAGGAGUAGAGGCUUUCCCAGGAUCUGAGCCCUGCCAAGUAACAUGCGGUCCCUGCUCCCAUCUUUCCUUCUCGUGCCCCUUCCCCAUUUCUCUGACUCCUUCCUCCAACACUAAGAAGAGCCAAGGCCCUUAACCAAGAGCAGGAAAAUAAAAAUCAGGUCACCAGAUGUGUUGCAUUCCAUCCUCUCCCUCCUCACCACAAUAAAUUCCGAGCGUAUAUACAGCAAGUGCGUGGCAUCCCCUCCAACCUGGCUGUGUCCCUGCCUGGUGACAGACCCUACUGAGGCAGAGACUGCGGGUACCCAUACAAGCCUACCACAUGACCCACCCAUGUCUCCAGCUCCGUGACCCAUUAAUUUGCUCUGUCUAGACCAUCCAAGCAGACCCCAGAAUGAGUUUUUUUCACCCUGAAUGAGGGGUGAUACAUUUGUGCCCUCUGUACUGCCAGGGCUCCUUUUCCCUGUGUGGUCACUGUCUGUCUGGGUGCAGGAGGAGAAUGAGGUCUCGUGGGCAAGAUCACUGUCUGGAUACUGGCGGUGGGGGAGACCGCAGCCCUGCUUUGGCUUGUGCACAGGGCUCUCUCAAGCUGGCCCCCACCUGGAGCCCACAGUGAGUGUCUGGGUCUCUGGAAUGAACAGGGCAUCUGGGAUUCUCAUUGGAGACUGUUUACUUGUCGAUUUGCAUGGCAGGUUAAGAGCCCACAGCAGCCCACUUUCUGCCAGCGAAUUUUAGGAACAAUUUCUCCAAGCCAGCGUGGCCCAGCCCAGGCAUCGGCCCUCCUCAGCCCUCCCUCCUUCCCUCCCCACAUUGGCCACGUGGAAGUGAGUCACUUGGGCUCUCUGAGCCCCUGCCAAGAGCAGCCAGAGCGGUGCCUCAAUAAAGUUGGAUGGGUUACUUUAGGAGCAGGGGGCAGUCCAGAGUCCCUUUGGAAUCCCGUGGACCUCCUUAUCCUCCUUCCACCACUGCUCCCCAAGUAGCCGACCAACCAAACCUGAUGAGGCAACGUCUCCUUGCUGCUCUGGAGAAAGCUCACCCCCCCACCUGGCUCUCCCAGUCCUCCGAUAGCCUGUGCUACAAUCAGGGGCCACUGUGGGGGGCUCUUGGCCUUUCAUGAGAUAGUCCAAGAAUAACGCACACCUAAGGCAAAGCACCCGUGUACGUGAUGACCUCGUUGUAUCCUCAUGAUCACCCCACGAGCUGGUAUUUCCCCCAUUUCAAAGAAGAAGAAACUGAGGAUAAAAAGAUUAAAUGAAGGUGGAGCCCAUGGAUUUUUAGAGCAGUGAAGCUAUUCUGCAUGAUACUGUGAUGGUGGACAUGUGUCAUCAUACCUUCAUCAGAACCUGCAGAACAGGCACCACCCAGAGAGAACCCGAAGGUGGACUUUGGGUAUAAUGUGUCAGCGUAGGUUCACUGAUGGAACAGAUGUACCAUCUGGUGGGGGAUACUGUGCGUAUGGAUGUGAUGGAUGACAGUGCGGCACCUGUGCACGUGUGGGGGCAGGGUACAGCGGAACUCUGCACUUCUUGCUCAA
Molecule: long non-coding RNA, 4596 nt
Organism: Equus quagga
Lineage: Eukaryota; Metazoa; Chordata; Mammalia; Perissodactyla; Equidae
Exons: 5
Source: RefSeq, a predicted model, not a curated record